AUACGUAGGGAGCAAGCGUUAUCCGGAUUUAUUGGGUGUAAAGCGUGCGUAGGCGGCUUUAUAGGUCUAUGAUUUAAGUCCGAAGCUUAACUUCGGUUCGUCAUAGAAACCGUUUGGCUUGAGUAUGGUAGAGGCAAGUGGAAUUUCUAGUGUAGCGGUGGAAUGCGUAGAUAUUAGAAGGAACACCAGUGGCGAAGGCGACUUGCUGGGCCAUUACUGACGCUGAGUCACGAAAGCGUGGGGAGCAAAUAGGAUUAGAUACCCUAGUAGUCCACGCCGUAAACGAUGGAUACUAAGUGUCGGAGUUAUUCGGUGCUGAAGUUAACACAUUAAGUAUCCCACCUGAGUAGUACGGUCGCAAGGCUGAA
RNAcentral lists this ribosomal RNA (368 nucleotides) under uncultured bacterium. RNAcentral's name for it is "bacterial SSU rRNA". It matches the Rfam family "Bacterial small subunit ribosomal RNA", at positions 523 to 898 of the family's 1533-position model. The record is from RNAcentral.